This 449-nucleotide ribosomal RNA is filed under the name uncultured bacterium. Its description in RNAcentral is "bacterial SSU rRNA". It matches the Rfam family "Bacterial small subunit ribosomal RNA", at positions 28 to 505 of the family's 1533-position model. The record is from RNAcentral.
GGUGAACGCUAGCGGUGCGCCUAACACAUGCAAGUCGAGCGGUAGAAUUUUGAAGCUUGCUUUAAAAUUUGAGAGCGGCGAACGGGUGAGUAACACGUUGGCAUCUGCCCCCAAGUCAGGGAUAGCCAUUGGAAACGAUGAUUAAUACCGGAUGUGCUCUUCGGAGUAAAGAUUUAUCGCUUGGGGAGGAGCCUGCGUUCUAUCAGCUUGUUGGUAAGGUAACGGCUUACCAAGGCUAUGACGGAUAGCUGGUCUGAGAGGAUGACCAGCCACAAUGAAACUGAGACACGGUUCAUACUCCUACGGGAGGCAGCAGUGAGGAAUCUUCCACAAUGGGCGAAAGCCUGAUGGAGCGACACCGCGUGAAGGAUGACGGUCUAACGAUUGUAAACUUCUUUUCUGAGGGAGCAAAAUGAGAGUACCUCAGGAAUAAGGGACGGCUAAUUACG